This 764-nucleotide small RNA is filed under the name Arabidopsis thaliana (thale cress). RNAcentral describes it as "ATSL125130". Lineage: Eukaryota; Viridiplantae; Streptophyta; Magnoliopsida; Brassicales; Brassicaceae. The record is from RNAcentral.
AAUCCAUAAAUUUUUCAUUAGCUCUAAUACUCAUCGAUCGUUAGAAAUAUGUGUUCUAAUUCUUCGCGUAGUUCGAGUGAUGAUGGUUCGCACAUAACUCGCACACAAGUGUUGCGAAGAUAAUCCUAAUAUUUAUAUAGUUUUAUUAACACUCGAGUUGAUUGACAAUAAUCAUGUAUCAAUAUAGUCGUAAGCAUGUAUUGUAGAUGUCAAAUUUGGCAUGGUUUGAUUGCUCAAGAAUCGGUAGUGAAACUUCUAUAGCGUUUUCAACUAUUAUAUACUUCCUUCUUAUUUUCGCAUAGUGAGAACCUGUCAAAUUCAAUUUACUUUGCAUCGCAGAUGGCAUGCCUUCUACAUCGUUCCAGUCAGUGAUAUGAUCAUUCAUUUGCUCAAUCAAUCUCUCAUCUACCGCCUCAAUUGUUUCAGCAUCAGAGGGAUCAAAUCCUUCGGCUUGUGCUAAAAGAAACAAAAGACGAAGAAAAACAGAAGAUGUUUGAUAUUAAAGAACACAUAACAUGUUAACUACAUCAUAUUACAUCGUGGCUAGAGUCAUGAGUUGGUAUGGUUGAAUUUGCAUGAGAUCAUUUGUCUUUGGCAGAAUUAGUCUUCAGAUUUUCAUUCUCCUAGACUUUCCGGUUUUGUUGCAUACUGUGAUCUAUCAGUUCGACGGAUAAGCACAUCAAAAAAUCUAUUAAAAAAAUUGUCAAAAGAAAUUAACAUAAAAAAUUUAUAUAAGGAUUUAAAUCCAAAUCAAUUGUUUAAUU